UGGGAUCAGACCAUCCAGAGACUGCAAAGAGAUGUGUUGCUCUCUCACCAGGCCCGUGACUCUCAGGCUGCUCAGCUGGACAUCCAGGAGCAAGGAUCUUUCAGUCGCUGCCUGAACUGCAGGAGAGCCGUCUGGAUCUCCGGAGGAACAGAGUCGCAUGCAGCAAUACCAAAAGCAGCUUCAGAGCAAGACUCAGCAGGCCCAGCAGCUCCAGAGUCAGGUGUAGCUGCAAUGGCAGAGAAAUGCAGCAUGGGGCAGAUUGGCUGCAGAAAGUACUCAGAUGCGGCACCGAUGUAUAGACCUGGAGGCUCAGCUGGGGCAAAGACCUACCACAGUUAUAGACUGGACACUAAGAGCGAGACAACCAUUGUGGGCUCACCUACAUAGAGUCACGGACUGAAGACAUCCUGUCGUUGGUACAUGCAGAGUUGUCCAACAUGGCUGCCUCAAUCAGCAGGUGCAGUACUACCUACUGCUCAGACUUCAGCCAACAGAACAACACAGUGAUUUUACAAGGAGGCGAAGAGGCAGGAAGAAGAACAGAUUUCUGAGCUACAGGUGGAGAUAGACAGGCCAAACACGUUGCUGCAGGAUAAGAGGCAAGAACUGCAAAGAAAGAGGUGUGGCCCCUUCAGGAGGCAAGAGAUUGGCUGCAGGUGGAGGUUCUGUCCAGGGCCAGUGCAGUCAGCAGGAGAUACCACUCAAGAGCAGCGGGUUACCACACUGGAACAAGACCUGGAGGCUGCUCACAGCCAAACUACUGAAAGGAAGCAGGUGCCAGCUGAUACGGCAGUGCAGAGAAAGGGUGGACUACUGCAUUAGAUGAUGUAGAAAGAGGCUGUGAAGACAGUGAAGCAGCAAACAGCUGGAGGCCCACAACCUGGUGGCAGUACUUCACUGAUAGAGCAAAGAGACCCAGCAUGGCCUCCCCUCAGCCCAGAUGCCGCAGCAUACACAGGGGCUCACUGAAGACAAAGGCCACUGCGUUGACUCUGCCCAGGAACGAGGGGAGAGAACUGUUGCCAGCAGGUGGGCAUCAGCAGACUCAGGAGUAGCCGGCAGAUGUGGUGAAUACCGAGCAGCUCCAGAGCAUUAACCGCAAAGCUACAGGUCCAAGGUGGAGGUUUUUGUGUUCGGUAAGACAGCUCUCAUAUCCACAAGAUGCUCUCCACUGUCAACCAGUUGGUCCUGGAACGUGCACAUGAAUCCACCUGCAGGAGGGUGUGGAAGCUUGACAAAUUGAGGUCAGGAGAUUAAAGCUGAGGUUGACGAGAAGAGGAUUGAAGAGGAGAAGAUCCAGCUACUGUAUAUCGACCAGGCCUUAGUGACAUAGCAGCUGCAGGAAACCUGCUCAGUGUACUGGUAGGUCAAUUCAGACUUGUGAUAGUGACUGGCAAAGGACACUAACCUAAUACAUAUGAGGCAUCAUUCGGGCCAGGUAUUGAAUCUCAACCGACCAAAAGUAGAGCAAGUUGACAUGGAUGUGUGUUUAGUUAUUUUUUACUUAUUCUUAAAAUGUUGCCGGUUUCUUGUAACGUUGCUGGUUUGUUUGGCUUCUUUUAUUUAAAGGGUUACUUAAAGCAUCAGAGGCUGGGAUAUACUAACUUUUGGUCUUUAGUAAGGGUCAAGUUCCAAAACUCUGGAUCCUGCAAUUCCCAUAAUGCAACACAAUACCAUCAUUAAUGUUAUUUUGUCUCUGCUAUCUUCAGAGAAUUCAACUUGUUUCUUUAAAACAAAAAUAAUGAUUAAGUGCCUUGUAACAUCCCUUGUUUUUAGCUGCCUUAAUGCUCUUUGAUCAUCCAUUUAUUGCCUGUGUUGUCUCUUGUGCUUUAGCUGUGCUCUGACUGCUAGAGGAGUUAUGAUUAGUCAAGCAAGGAGCCCACAGAAGAGGAGAAGAGUAUCUGCUACCAACCUCCCCAAGCCUGCGUGCUCCCAGCAGCCAUGCGUGCAGAGUUGGAGAGUUCCUCCAGGUCCAGGAGAGAGAGCACCUAAACAGAUUUGGAUGGAUUCCACCUUUCUAAUCCCAGAGACUGACAUUUAUAUAUCUGAUAAGCCCCUAAAACAAAUGAAAGGGGGAAGCUUCAGUUAAACUUCAAGUUUUCAUGAAUGAUUUUAGAGUCUUGAUUAUGUGUUGAACAAUUUUUGGUGUCCAAAAAAGCUAUAAAGUUGUAUUUUGUAUAUGUCGCUGAAGUAGACAGUUUUGUUAUUUUGUGUCUUUGUUGAGUUUCUUGAUGACUUAAUGGAUCAGUGUGUAGGAUUUAGUGCCAUCUAGCAGUGAAGCUGCAUAUUGCAACUAACUGAACACCGCUCAUUUAUUUGAUGUAUUCAGUAUUUGAUGAGCUGGGAAUGAGAACAGGCUGUGAAGUGUGGAGGAGGAACUAUGGUGGUUGCAAAACCCUAUAUACAACCAGUGAUUGGUUUGUCCAGUCCAGGCUACGGUAGAAACAUGGCAGUUCAACAUGGGAGACUUCAUUGAAAGUGACCUGAUGCCGUUGUAGAUUAAAAAAAAUUCUAAGGUAACGAAAACACGAUGAUUCCUAUAUUUCAUUAUACACUAAUGAAAACAUACCUGUGAAUAUUAUAUUCCAUUUCUACCGAUAGAUCCUCCUAAAUGUGUAUGUAUGUCCUGAUAUAACUUCUGUUAUGAAUUGACGCUAUACAAAUAAAAUUGAAUUGAAUUAAA
Dicentrarchus labrax (European seabass) is the source of this 2683-nucleotide long non-coding RNA. RefSeq lists it as uncharacterized. The record is from RefSeq and is a predicted model, not a curated record. The transcript is spliced from 11 exons. NCBI's taxonomy places the organism in Eukaryota, Metazoa, Chordata, Actinopteri, Moronidae.